ACUACAAGCAACAAGCCUGAAGUCAACAACUAUAUCUAUAAUUGUGACUGAUCCAAUGCCUUAUGCAGCCAAAAGAUUUGAAGGGGUGCUAUAACACCACAGAGAUGACAGGACUGCAGCUUUCCUGUGAAAUAAAUAAUGCUGCUAUACCAUGCAAAUGUAGAUGUAAGAUUUUCCACAUGCUCGGCUUGUGUUUGGGUGGAGGAUGGCACAGAUUCUCACCGUCUCGCUGUGCUGUCUGUGGAAGAGUGGGACAAACUCCAAGGACUUGAUCUUGUGUAGAACCUGCUGAAAGUCCUCUUUCUGGAUGUCCUGAGCUCAGGAUGGACAACAUAUGGAGACCAUGAACUGUCUACCUCAGGAGUUCCUGUUGUGAAUUCUCCUGCAACCGCAUCAACUCCAGCUGCAUUCCCUUUCAAAAUAAAGACAGAGCAGCAGUAAAUCCA
Anguilla anguilla (European eel) is the source of this 446-nucleotide long non-coding RNA. RefSeq lists it as uncharacterized. Lineage: Eukaryota; Metazoa; Chordata; Actinopteri; Anguilliformes; Anguillidae. The transcript has 3 exons. The record is from RefSeq and is a predicted model, not a curated record.